UACGUAGGGGGCUAGCGUUGUCCGGAAUCAUUGGGCGUAAAGAGCGUGUAGGCGGUCCGGUAAGUCCGUUGUGAAAGUCAGGGGCUCAACCCUUGAAUGCCGGCGGAUACUGUCGGGCUAGAGUCCGGAAGAGGCAAGUGGAAUUCCCGGUGUAGCGGUGAAAUGCGUAGAGAUCGGGAGGAACACCAGCGGCGAAGGCGGCCCCCUGGGCCGCUCCUGACGCUGAGACGCGAAGGCCAGGGUAGCGAACGGG
This 253-nucleotide ribosomal RNA is filed under the name uncultured bacterium. Its description in RNAcentral is "partial 16S ribosomal RNA". It matches the Rfam family "Bacterial small subunit ribosomal RNA", at positions 524 to 776 of the family's 1533-position model. The record is from RNAcentral.